CGAAGUAAGCAAGCUUAAGUAGAGCAGUUCAGUUCGUCGCGUUCUGCCCCCACGCUCUCCGCACGAGACGGAAGGAGAAUCAAAUCGGAAGAUGGAUGGAUAGGUCGGGGCGCCCCUGCUCGUCCCUGCCGCCCCCUCACCCCUCGUCUCCUCUGNNNNNNNNNNNNNNNNNNNNNNNNNNNNNNNNNNNNNNNNNNNNNNNNNNNNNNNNNNNNNNNNNNNNNNNNNNNNNNNNNNNNNNNNNNNNNNNNNNNNNNNNNNNNNNNNNNNNNNNNNNNNNNNNNNNNNNNNNNNNNNNNNNNNNNNNNNNNNNNNNNNNNNNNNNNNNNNNNNNNNNNNNNNNNNNNNNNNNNNNNNNNNNNNNNNNNNNNNNNNNNNNNNNNNNNNNNNNNNNNNNNNNNNNNNNNNNNNNNNNNNNNNNNNNNNNNNNNNNNNNNNNNNNNNNNNNNNNNNNNNNNNNNNNNNNNNNNNNNNNNNNNNNNNNNNNNNNNNNNNNNNNNNNNNNNNNNNNNNNNNNNNNNNNNNNNNNNNNNNNNNNNNNNNNNNNNNNNNNNNNNNNNNNNNNNNNNNNNNNNNNNNNNNNNNNNNNNNNNNNNNNNNNNNNNNNNNNNNNNNNNNNNNNNNNNNNNNNNNNNNNNNNNNNNNNNNNNNNNNNNNNNNNNNNNNNNNNNNNNNNNNNNNNNNNNNNNNNNNNNNNNNNNNNNNNNNNNNNNNNNNNNNNNNNNNNNNNNNNNNNNNNNNNNNNNNNNNNNNNNNNNNNNNNNNNNNNNNNNNNNNNNNNNNNNNNNNNNNNNNNNNNNNNNNNNNNNNNNNNNNNNNNNNNNNNNNNNNNNNNNNNNNNNNNNNNNNNNNNNNNNNNNNNNNNNNNNNNNNNNNNNNNNNNNNNNNNNNNNNNNNNNNNNNNNNNNNNNNNNNNNNNNNNNNNNNNNNNNNNNNNNNNNNNNNNNNNNNNNNNNNNNNNNNNNNACGAUGAUGAAUAAUGGAUGACUUUACAUGCCGCCGCCGGCGCUCGCGGUGGCCGCCGGCGGGCUCCGCAGAGCCGCCGCGAGGGAGCGCCGCACGCGGUGGAGCGCCUCCCGGAGUUCCCGCUUCCACGACCACGCGGGCUCCUUAAGAGCCCGGAUGGAGUUGAGGCAGACCAGCAGCGUCCCGCCCUCGUGGAGGAGCACCUGCCAUGCCAUUCCAUUCCGGAGAAAGUACCCGCCACCAUUACCAUCACCGGAGGAGACGAGCAGAGGAGAAGAUAAGAGAAGAGAAGAGGGGAGGGCCUCUAAGCUAAUGGAAGGAGGAAGAGAAACGUACCGUCAACCAGAGAGGGAGGAAGCCGAGGACCGAAGGGAGCGCAGCCAGGAGGAUGCAGGAGAGGGCGAGCCCGACGCUCUGCUUCACCUGCGUUCAGCGGAGAAAGCGCAGAGCGGUAAAGUGAGGGAGGAAGAUGAUGGUGUGCGGGCCGUAGCCCUCUCCCGCGGCGAGGAACAGAAUGGCUUGUCCUACCAGUGAGGUGGUCUGCCUGGCCUUGGCCACGCAGAAUGGCACACCGGAGAUGUUGUCCUGGAGCAGCAGGACGUCCGCCACCGCCACGGCAGUGGCGCUCGCGCGCUGGGCCAGCACGAUGCCGACCGUCGCCGCCGCGAGCGCGGGUGCGUCGUUGAUGCCGUCGCCCACCAUGAUCAGACCGCCCCCUGCGCCACCAGAGAGGAACACCAGGCUGAGACAACUGUCAGGAGCAGUUUCGCUGACGACUCCUACAGCGAGCAAGAGCCCGCGCGCCUCCCCCCGCCAACGCCGGAGGGGCGGCGCGGCAUUAAUAAAGAAGGCGCUCCAACAUCGCUACUUUCAGAGAAGCCUGCGACAGAUCAAGCAAAUCAGAGCACAUCUUCAGCCUCGGGGAAUGGUGAAAACAGCGGGCUCAGACCUCCGACAAUGAAAAUAUUAGAGCCAUCCAUCAUCCCCCUUGCUCGGACUCGGGGCGUGCAGCUGGCAUUUCCAUAAAUUUUCCUUUCCGGGUGGGGAAUAACUCACAACCUUUCGCCGGUUCCAGGCGUCAUCUGCUACAUUCUUCAGUCCCCCAUGGCUACCCAGCAAACAAGGCUCCACCAGAUGAUGGUUCAUUCAUCCCAUUUCGAAUUAUCAUUCGACCAUUGGAUUAUUAGUCAUCCCACCAGAUGCGCAAAGAUGGGUAUAGAUUCAAAAAAACCCUCAGAACUAGGAGAAAAUUCUCACGCGUCGACCACCUCAGAAAGCAAGGAGUUGUGUAAAGAUGCUCGCCCGCGUGGAGCCUAGCACCCGGUUCGCUAAAAGAAUCUGCAGAGAAGAUUAUAGAGGACGACCACCAAAGGCUCGUCAUCAUCCCCCACCUCCAAACCCUAUUCCAGAUCUAGAUCAGCAUGGUGGACCGGACAUGAAAAAUGCCCCCCCCCUAGAAUUUAGUGCCAGUGAGUUUUCCUUUUCCGGGGCACAGAGAAAGGACCACAAAGAAUAUGACAAGUUUCUUCAUCGAUUAGAGUGGCACAGGAUCAUGAGCAAGUACUGAAAAAUAUACCGAUGCGGAAGUUCAAGAAAAGAUGGGGCUAAACUGAGAAGAUGCAUUCCAGUCACUGUCGAUUGUUACCUGUGUCUCUUGAGAUGCUCUUUAUCUGAUUCAGCUUAUCCCCAGGCUUCAAGUUGGAGUACACUUCUUCAAUGCCCGCCGCUUUUGCAACUCGCCGUGCACUUGAUUCGUGAUCGCCGGUUAGCAUCAUCACGCGGAGUUUUGAUUGCUCCCGUAGGGCAGAAACAACCUCGACAACGUCACUACGGGGUUCAUCCUCAAAAUGGAACAGCGUGACCUAAACGAAUUGACAACGUAGUCUCUUAGAAUUUAUUAGGAACGUGCGAAAUGAAUGCUUCUCAUAAGGGUUUUUUUAAAUUUUUUUUUACAUUUCCAUCUGCUCCGCUUUACUUGCAAGCUAGCAAGUCCAUUAAACAUGUUCUCCAAGAAAUAAAAAUAGUAGUAUGGUGCUAGUAAUCUACUCUUCGAAAAACAAUAAAGUGUUCAUGCAGGAGGGCCUUCCUGUUAAUGCGCAACUCAGAUUAAAUUCAAAGGGAAGAAUCACGUAACAACACAAGCAAAAUUGUAGACUGCAUGAACACGAAAUAUAAUUUAGUACGGGGUGGGCUUGUUUCAACCACUAAUAUCUCACAUUUUCCCGCUUCUAUGAAUCAGAAGAAAAAAAUCAAGGUUUGAAUGCAUGCAAUUGUCAUUUUGUGGAAGAAACAAGAAUUACAUGCAACUGCAUAAAAUUAACAUAUUAUGAACACAACUCUGUUCAGUUGAUGAACCAAAUAACGGCAGUGAAAAUAUAGACUAUAGCUCCAACCCUAUGUCUUAGCAAUAAAUAAGGCAGUUGCAUCCGUUUUCGCUUUUGGUAUGAUAAACGAUGAAUAGCUUGGUAGAAGAUCCGAAGGCGCCAGAAAUUGAUAAAAUGUCCAUAAAUAAAGCUUUAUCCAUAGGGGUGGCAAACCUUUUGGUCAAUAGACAAGGCCGCUUGAACAAAAUUACUGCCAUAUGCAGACGUUCUUGCUGCUUCCUUAAUCUUCUCAGCAUCGGCCACAGAUUUACACAGAGAGGCGAUGUAAUCAACAGAACCGAUUGUUGCUUUCAAAUACUCACUCUCUUCAGAUCCAGACUGAGACAAAACAACAAUAUGAUCACAUGUUACAAGAAAUUAAAAUUCUAAACAGAAGAGACUGAGGUUUAAGCCACUUUCACAUAUAUAUGAUCGAUUAACAAAAUGCGAAUCAUAAGCACAUUAUCGUUGACUAAUCUUGACGAAGAUAAUAGGAGAAAAAAGUAUUCACAAGGAACAAUCUAGUUAAUGAAAAGGAAAAAAAAGAAAGAAAAUAGACUCCAAAUUAAUCCUGAAUGAAUGUGCAGGAAUCAUGCAGUCACAAUUAAUUAAUUAAUGGACUAUUUUUUAUCUCACAAGUACGAGAGAAGAAUGAUAAUAGACGUGUCUUCAAAAAAAUAAUGCCAAUCUAAAUAUCUUUGAAGAAAGAAUCUAAAAUCCAUUGGUAAAUUUAACGGAUUUGAUGGUGUAAGCAGAAACCUAACAGAUCCAUUCAUCUUCUUGCUUUAAUAAACUUAUAUCCUCCUUAAGGUAGCUGAAGCUAGGUUCAUCUACAAGAAAUUGUUGAGAUGAGGCUUACAUUUAUAGAGUUGUUUUCUGUUCUGGUUGAGUUUGAAACGAUGUUCAAAUGUUAUAAAUCUUAAUUUUCGUAAGCCAAAAAUGUUUAUGAGCUUAUAUGAUGCAAAAAGUAAACAAAGUAAUAAGGUACCUGAGUUAUAACAUGUACGAGCCAACAUUGAGGACUGAGUCAAUACUAUGUAUAAAAAACAAAGAACAAAGAGCUUUGGUGUUGCCACCCAUCAGUAGAGCCUCUAAAAUUGCGUUGGAGCAAUGGCUCAAUCAAGAAAUGUCCACACCUAGAAAUCUGAUAUAUCGUUAUAACUUCAGUUUUUAGUGAACCAUGCUAAUCUCGCUUGAAGGAAAGUACAUGUUGGCAACCAAAGGCAAGAGGCAGUCCCGUGAAGGCCGUGGUUAAUUAAUCGGAUGCCAAUUUCAAGGGAUAUAAACGAUAGGGGAAAAUGUAUCUAUGGUGAUUGAUUUUUGAAAUAGGACGAACAAUGAGGGGAAUUGAUCCGAACUCAUUUUUCAGGGAAAAUGGACUGUUGCCUACCCAUUUUCUGCUUUCCGGAUGGAGGACAACUUAAAUUCUCUUUAUAGAAGAAAAGUACGUGUACAAGCUUUGACAGAAAAAUUUUGGACUUAGUGGAAUUGCCCCCUGAAAAUCAGAAGAAAAGUACGUGUAUAAACUUUGACCAAAAAAUCUUGGAAUUUCUGGAAUUGUCCCCUCAAAAUCAGAAGAAAAGUAUGUGUACAAACUUUGACAGAAAAAAAUUGGACUUGCUGGAAUCGCCCCCACUCAAAAUCAGGUCAGGAGUUCCCUAGGUUAAAAUUGACUGGUAUUCAGAAAUCAUGCUCCUAACCAAUUCGCUUCUUUGUUCAUCUGCCCAAGAGGUUCUUCAUACUUGUACCGUAAAAACUUUCUUGUGAAUAUAAUUUUGCAUCCAAGUAAUAGUUAACCAGUGUAGCAGAGAUAGGGGAUAGUUCUCCAAUUUCUGCCACCUGGUAUUAGCUGGGUUUUUCUGAAGAACAAAAAGAGAGCUUCAAACUCACAGCCACACUUAGCGCCUAAAGCUAAUCAAGGAUGACUACAACGUAGGUCUGGAUAUGAUGAUAGAGGUGUUUUUAGCCACUUUCCACGUUCUGAAACUGACAAUAAUAAUAUGGGGAAAUACAGAAGUAACCAGGGUUAUGAUAAAUUUUUUCUUCACCUUCUUUUCCUCAAUUGGAUGUCAGACCAUAUGUCAAAUAGCAUUCUAUUUCUGGUUUUAAAUGCUUAAAAAAUAUGGACAACAAUAGAACUGAAUAAAAACAGCACGAGAAAGUGUGACAUAAGGUCAACUUAAAUCAUAUGAGGAUGUCUUUCAUAAAAAGUGCCACCUGCUACCAAAUUAUCUCUCAUCACAAACUAUGGACUAUCGACUUCCUUCCCUUGACCAGGUUUGAAUCAGACCAUCUUAAAUCACAAAAAGUCGUCUUCAAGUUAACAUGACAACACUUAGCAAACAUCUCCUGAUAUACAACAUAACCUAUCCGCUGCCUAAUGUUUACAAUAUUCUUCCCUUGACCAGAAGGAAUUAUCCUUUUGUCUAAGGUAACUUUUGUCAUUAUGUUUUGUCAAUUUAUGUAAUUUACCCUUAAAUGAUUAUAACCAAGCAGCUAGGUGUUAUUAGCUUACGAUCCCUUCAGACAUCAUUCCAAUCCAUGAAAAUAGGACACUAAACUUUAAGAACCUCUGAAGGAUAGCAAUAAGAUUUCAGUGAAUCGUUUUGACUGUACCGAGUACAACUGUGGUUAGUACUCUACCUGAAAAAAAACUAAUGCUAUCCUUCAGUAAAUUCAAGAAAGACGGUGGAUAAAACAUACAGUCAAUUGCAGACCGAAUUUCAAAAAAGAUGCAAAUGAGUAAUAUGCAGGAAACAUGCCGAGGAGCAUAUUACCUUCGUACACGUCAAGGUAGCAAAAAGACCUCGGCCCGGAAGACAUUCAAAACUUUCGAGUGAGACUCUUGGAAGAUCUUUUCCAAGACUGUGGGCAACAACGGCUCUGCAAUGUUCAGAAGAAUGAGCAAAUUGGUGAUCUCGAAUAAGUCAGUACAUUGUACAGGCACUGAUAGUCAAAGGUUUCACGAAGAAAAGAGGAUCCCGUCUAUGAAGAGCUAGUCAAUGAAAAAUUCUAGACAGGCCAUAUCAAAUUCCAUUUUUCUUGCUACUUACUAUCAGAAUCAAGAAACUAAAAUAUGCAACGUCGAUUGAAGCAACGAAAAACGAAUACAGAAAAAGAAAACCCAUAAUUUUGCAAAAUAAAAUGAAGACAAGUGAUGACGAUAUAACCAACUGUACAUACCACAGAUACCUAAUACUAAUACAGAAACUUCAAAUGUAGCUCAAUUGGAAAAUCAGUUUUGGAAAUAUGAAUUUAGAGAGGCUAAAUAAAUGCAAUGGAUAAGGAUCACUAUCAUAGGCAGAGAUAUCGAUGGGCCAUCUUGGAACAUAGCUUUCAGCACCAGACUAGCAGAAGAAGUGCCAUCUAGUUUCAGAUAUGUAAGCCCAAGUUGGCAAACACAAACACAAUUAUAGUGCGUCAAUUAGCUUUCUAGAAAAGACAUCAGAUUUUGCAGAAAUUAACACAUUGUAUUUAUGAAACCAACUUCCAGAUUUAUGACAGAAAUAGCAUCAUGAAACAAACAACCUGAAAAAAGAAAAUGAUUAACGAGUUUCAGAUCAGUGUAAAGUUCCUCUAUCAAUAAACUGUAUUGCGGCCGUUUAGUCCUUCCAUCAUCACUAUCUGGCUUCACAUAAUGACACUAUUUUCUAGACUGACCCUUCUCUCCGUUUCACAUGGGGGGAGGGAGAGGGUUUUCAGCUGGUAAUAUAAUGAAAAAAGUUAAGAAGUACUAUCUAAAAAUUAAAAUCUGAGUCAGUGGAAUUGUUUUUUCAAGUGAUAAUACUUAACUUCUUGUCGAAACUAGCAUUCAUAAAAAAGAAAGUUGCAUUAAAUUUUCACCUUCCAAUAGGGUGGGUAGUUCCCUUCUCCAUUGCUGCAGCCACAGCAAGAGCUUCCUUCUCACAGUCGGGAGUACAGCAUGAAGAAUCUUUAAAGCCUUGCCAUCCUGCUGAAUGACCGUGAAUUGGUUCAAUUGCUUUGCACCUAAGUUUCCCCGUAGUCAGAGUGCCUGUUUUGUCAAACGCAACUGUGUGGCAUGAUGCUAGAGAAUCCAAAACAUGCCCACCCUUCAACAAUAUGCCCUGCAUAUAAAAGAGUAAAUCUUAAAUCGAUGCACAGACAAUUAAUCAAAACUGAGAUUCAGUGGAAAAUGCAAUAUGAUAACAUGGGCAUUUAGUUGUAUCUUUCUUCUAAAUACAGGAGCCUGCCUAGUUGUUCACAAAUAGAUAAACAAAUUAACACAACUAUCUCCCCAAAAGCAAAAAUAUCACUCAUGAACUUCAUUCUGCCAAUUACACAAGGUUCUGGGAAAAGUGUGUUCUGUGCCAAAGGGAACGUUUUUUCUAUAAUCUACAAGGUAACAGUCGCAUGACACAAACAUCUGAGUAUAAAACUUUCCCAAAUUUAGUGGGCAAUUUACUUUGCAUUAUGCAAAAAUCCCGUGAAAAUCAUAUCCGGGGCCAUAGACUGCAUAAACAGCAAAAUAGAUGAAUAGACAGUUCAUGUUUCCGGGUUUGACUGAGGCUACAUGCCAUAAAUUGGAGGAGAAAGCAGCACAGAAUCAGGACAGAGAAUGAAACCUUAGCAACUGUUGACGAUGGCGUCUAGUUGUCAAAUCGGAGACAACUAAUCAUUUAGGACACCAACCUAAAAUGAUUCUGGGGCUCAAGGUAAUGCACCUUUUUAGUAGGAUAAGCUUGUUAUGGAUAACUAAAAAAUCAUGGUAAAUUCAUGGUUUGAGCAUAAAAGUCUCCCACCCAAACCAAGGCUUCAAUACCAAUCUCAUUCGAGAUACAGACACAGGUUAGAGUUUAGUCUGCCUAAAUUUGGUUAAUUCAUGUCAUCAAACUUAACUCAAACAACCCAUGUCAAGACAAUCUGGAUAUUACGCUCAUAUCAUAUACCACUAACUGGAUAUUAGGACCCUAACUUCCAAACUAUCUGUUACCUCUCAGCGCAGGUUUGAAGUCUUUAAUGGAAUUAGGAAGCUGCUGAAGUUGACCCUUUAGUAAAUGUGUCAAGAAAUAUUGCAGACAACACACAUCAACCUACAUGUUACCGACAUGAUUGAAUCAUGUCUUGAACGAGCACAAGGUCAAGAAUGCAUUGCCUUAUUUUAAAAGGUAUUGUAUAUAAGUGAUCAAUGACAAGAAGGACUUUACAUUUUCCAUAUAAAUGCACCUAUUAACCAACACCACAAAUUAUCUGAUGUGAAAAGAUAAAACCAAUUUCAUAAAACUUAGGGCAUCUAGAGUUGCCACUUUAAUCUAUCUUGCAGCAGACACUACUGUUUGAAGUUUGCUAGUCAUUGUCUAAAAAGGUAAGGAUCCUGGUGGUUACUAAUAAAGAACCAUAGAUUAGCACAAAACUUUAGACAUCAACAAUGUCACGAUGAUCAGUUGGAUGAUGAAAAUUUUCAUCUUUCGGAAGGAGAAGAUCUGAAUUUCUUGAGCACCAACCAUGGCUUGUUUUGGUGGGUCUCUCAAUAUUAGACUUUAUAAUGCUUAAUAUUACAUUCAAAUUUGUAGAAACUUUAUUUCUACGUAGAAGCAUGAUUCUCAAAAAGAAAUUAAAAUUAACAAGGAACAUAUAAAAAAUACGAGGAAAAAAGCUAAUAAGAUUAUCAAGAUGCAUUGAUGCAUUAAUAUUUGGAUAAACGUGAGAGGGAAAAAUGUUUAAAUAGCAUCUUAAAGAGAAUUAUUACCCAGCAGAAAGAAGAAAAACUCGAUGUUGGAAGAAAAUUUAUGUUAUAAUUCCCUUGAUUUUAUUUUUUUAUUGUGGUAAUACCUUACUAGCACAGGAACUGAUAGCAGUUGCAUAUGCUAAUGGAGCAACAGCUAGCGCACAAGGUGAUGCUGCCACCAUAAGCCCCAACGCUCGGUAAAUGGAACCUCUAUUAACUGCAGCAUGAGAUGUUGAUGUUCAAUACCAAAACAAAAAUGGAAAACUUUCAAAACAUUUGUGAAAUCUAUGCAUAAAAAACUUCUUGCUUUAAGAACCUUCAAAUAUUGCUUAUAUUCUUUUCCACAAGAAUUCUCAUAGAAGUCUCUUUUCAGAAUCUUCAUAGCAGUCUUUCAUGAAUUCCUUUCCAUGCAAAAAUAAUAACCCUUUUCAUGAUUGCUGCAAAGGCACGUUUUGCCUAACUGCUCUAAAUUUCAGACAAGAAGCCUAGCAAGUUUAUAGGUGAGACACCCUACAACCGUAAUCCCAGCAGUGUAGUAAUGUGAUGAUGAAGGAUCAAGGAACUCCCACGUUAUAUAUUAUCCUCUGUCUUUAUGAUUCAUGCUCAGACAAUGAUUAAACAUGUAGCCCAUAUCAACCUCAUGUAGGAUAGCAUGUAGCUCAUAUCAAAUAGACCUUAAAAUGUUAGAGAAUAUAUCAACAUAACGUAAGAAAGAUAAAAGACUGACAGUGACCACAACAUAGUUCGUACAAUUUCAUAAGCAUGAUUCUGGAUUCGUCUGUUUCACAAGAAUAGCUUUCAUGGUGUACCUGAUGAUCCAAUAAAUGGCCACUUGAAAAGAAACGGACCAAGAACUGCAACCGCGAGUGAUAGAGCCAUAACUACUUUACUAUAAUGUUCACCAAAUUCAUCCAGCCAUCUUUGCAGUCUGGGCUUAUUCAGCUGUCCUUCUUCAGUCAACUGCAUAAUCUUGUUCAAUGUUGAAUCCUUCCAUGCCUUGGUUGCCUAAAGCAAGACAAGUUAGCUGGGGAUCAAUCAUUAUGAAGUGAACAACCAACAGCCUAUCAAAAGUCAUUAUAACAACUUGACUAGCGAGAGAGUCAAGAAGAUUUUCCAUGAAUAAGGCAUUCUUCACUUAUUGAAAGAAUUUAAUCAUUAUCAUAGCAAGAAAUCAUCAACUAUCCAUCAAAAGUUCAUUAGAGUACCACUUUUUAGAUAAGAAAGAAGCAAAUGCAUAAGCAACAGAUUGACAAAAAAUGAGGCAGAAUGUGCAAAUAAUUGUGUAAUAUAACGUGGUACUAAAUUGUACCUUGACAACCAUCAUUCCUUCCAAGUUCCUUGCACCACCAGGGAUUCUGUCCCCAACUUUCCUUUCCAAGGGUUUUGCCUCUCCUGUAAGAUGCUCAAUGGUGACUGUUGAAGCACCUUGAUAGACUUCAACAUCCACUGGCACAGCCUAGAAAAGCACAUAUACCUCAAAAUUAUAUUCGAUUAGUGAAACUAAAGCGGAAGACUAGUGAAAUGGAGACGCAAUAACAGUUUUGUUUAACUAACUGUAGUUAGCACGUUCUUUGAAAACACUUAUUUAAUUCGUAUUCUGAUUCUGAAACAGAGUUUACAACCUGAGCCGAUGGCAUCAACAGCAAUGAGGAUUUGUCAUGAUCAGAUUAAAAUCCAGUUUCUCCCUAUGAAGUAUCAAGAAUGAGAAUGCAUUAGUUGUCCAUGCUCAAGUAAUAAUCCAUUUGACUUCAGCACACAAGUGAGUAUACUACCACCACCUUCAAAUGAAGAUGUAAGUGAAAAUACCUAGGCUCAAAUGUCCAGACACAGCUGAUUAGUUAUACAAUUACUUUUCCUUCAGCAUAUUGUUCACAUAUUUUUUAAGAGCUGAUUAGCAAGACAAUCUGUAGAGAUAAUCUUCAUGAAUCCUCUACCAUAAAAAUGGCUGCCAGAUCCAAAGUCAAUCUAGCUAAUGUGUGGAGUUCAGCUUGUAAAAUACUAUGAUUUUCGAAGUCAAAAAGAAAUGCAGAGUUUUAGCCAUGAUGUCCACUCUGCCAAUUGUACUCGUGAGUUUCCAAUAAAAAAUGACAGGUACAGACUAGCAUAAAUCAAUAAAAUGCGGUUGUCAUAGAAUAACUUAUUACAAUGCAAAAAGACAUAAACGUAUGUAAACCAGCGAGAUAAAACUCCAAGAACUGACCUCACCAGCUCUGACAAGGAGAUAAGAACCCACUUCAAUAUCAUACACGGGAACCUUUUUGUACUUCAUGUCUGAAAAAUGAGGCUGCUCCUCUCCAUUCGUUUCUAACACCAGAGCAAAUUCAGGAUGAUUCUCUUUGAGCUCCUUCACAUCAAUCAUGGACCGGCUGGUAAAAUACUCUUCCGCUGCAAGCAGCUCAUGAAAUAAAUGCAUCACCCACAGAAGCACUAGGUAUAUACAUCUGCACGUAUGCUCUGGAUUCGAAAUCUAGAGAUCCUUACCAAUAUGGGCCAAAUUAAACAUCGCAAGGAGCAAACCACCCUCCAAUGCAUUCCCCAUGAGCAAUGAUGCGAAGGCUGCCAGAGCCAUAAGCACGUGGAUGUUCACUCUUCCAGCAGCGAUAUCAAGAACGGAGUCAUGAGCCGAGGAAAUCUGAAGCAUAGUCGCCAAAACCCAGGGUUAACAGAUGAACAUCCAACGGUCCAUCAGACUAAUUGCAUAAUGAAAAAAUGAAAUCCGGAAGAAAACACGUAGUCCGCGUACCCCGACCAAAGGGAAGGCAAGGAGCGAAGUGACAUCCUGGAAAGGCUUCACAGCUGGCGCAGGGAGGACGUAGGGGGAAAUAGCCGCCGCGAGGAGCAGUGCCAUGGCGCAGAAGCAGAGUUGCAGAUUCUCCCGGAGAAAGUCUGCCAACUGGGCCCACCCUACUGCCGUGGAGAAUCGCAGUACAGCCUGCUGGGCCGCAGUCAGCUCCCCACCCCCUCCAUGGUGGUGGUGAUGGUGGUGGUGGUGGUGGUGGUGGUGGUGGUCACUACCGUGGCCACCAUGACUGUGAUUUUGGCUAUGUCCAUGAGCACGGACGGAGUGGUUACCAUGGCUGUGCUCAUGCGCAUGGCCGGCAUGGUCACCAUGGCUGUUUUCAUGUCCAUUGCCGGCAGCGUGGUCAUCGUGGCUAUGUUCACACGCAUGGCCGCCGUGGUCACCAUGGCCACCAUGGUCACCAUGGGUAUGACUUAGCCCGUGGCCGUGGGCAUGGCCAUUCAGUGCCCGGCAGCGGGCAGAGAUCUCGCAUUGGAGGAACCAGGGAUAGGAGGGACGAGAGGAUCCGACGCUGCUCCUUCUCCACGCCUCGCCAAUUAACAACAAACGAGAACAAGGAAGCUGAAGCCGCCGUUUCUGGGGGCGCAGCUGCUGCGGGGCGGCGGGGAGACGAAAGGAUGAACAGCCGGCGAUUCCGCCGGCGGUCCUUAUGCUCCGAGGACCGAGUACGCCCAGGCCGGACCCUCCACCUGCGGCGAGAAAUCGAUUGGCCUCCAUAUGCCACCGGGAUCUCGCUCAGGGGGAGGGAAGAAAUUUUCUUCUUCUUCUUCUUCUUCUAGUAUUCAAUCAUCGCGACUGCCGCCGGUGGGGCCUCAGUGGAAUUGCAGGCCGUGGAUGUCGUGAAAUGAGUUCAUUAUGAAGGCCACAGCCCACACUUGUAAAACACCAUGAGCUCAUCCUCACGUUAUAGAAGCGGUUCGGUACGCCGGCGGAACAAUGUUGUGGCUUAUCCCUGCGGCAGCCCCCCAAUUUCCCGCGGCACCAAACUUCGCUCACAGCGGGCCCCGACUUUGUAACGGGCCCCGACAGCCCGAAAUGCCCAUUUCUCCUCGCACCGAGUGAGGUGAUGUGCCGUGCCUUACCUGUCUCGACUCUCGAGCCCUUGUCGAACGGGCCUCUCUGGCCCGCGCCCACCAGAAACCAGAUCUAGCCCGGCCCGUCGAGCAUAACAUACGGUGACGGAAAAAAUACCCCGCGAGAGGAACCAGAACAGGGGCUUGCAACUAACGGCGGCCGUCAGAGGCCGUUAAAGGGCGGUUGCGUUUCGUCUCCCUUCCCUCUCUCUCUGGUUUGACCUCGCGACUGGGGCUGUCUUGCUCUUUUCUACCAGAGCAAAGAGAAACAGAGGUGAAGGGAGCCGCUCUGUCGGACUUCGGGGCGCGUAGACCCUUGGGGAACGGAAGCCAAGGGGGACGUUGUAGCCCCACUGAGAUGGGGAGCUCCAAUGAGACGGGGGGGGAUGGGGAAGGAGUGCCUGUCAAGGCUGAGAGUCCUGCUGACGGAGGGGAGAGCGAUGUCGCUGCAGCUUCUCCCGGGGAUCCGUCCGCUGGAUCGGAGUCCCCGCCUGGUCAAGCUGAUUACGAAGAAGGGGAGAAGGUUCUUGCGUUUCAUGGCCCCCGUAUCUAUGAGUCCAAGGUCAGUAUCUCCCGAUUCCGGAACUUGCAGCUAGGGCUUUGUAGCCCGCUACUUCUCUCUCCGUCAUUUCCGUACAUGCUGCUGGUGGAUGGAUCGCGGAAAUAACGGGGUUUCUGACGGUUUUGUGAUCGUCAAAAUACGAAUUGCCGACUUAUCGAGAAAGUGUUCUUGAUGACUGGAUUAUUAUCAAGUAUUCUUGGAGUCUUAGUCAGCGAAAGUUUUCCUAUUCAAAAAUAGAUCAAAAAAUGUUUUAACGUGAAUCUCUUUUUGUGGUAAAAUUUUUUUCAAUGUCUGUUUCAUCUCGAACGAGGUUUUCUAACGGGCAUUAACAUCUCUCUUGUGUCUAGGAGGUAUUGCUUGAUGAAAGUUUCUCUCUGACGUGUAGAUGUGUUUCGAUUUGGGUCGAUAUCUCAUUGGGAAGGUAGAAUUUUCUACAGAUCUUACUUCUGAUUUUCCCACACCUCCCCCCAAAAACAUUGAGGAAAAAAUGUGCAAUCGAAGUUGGGCGGAUUGAAGUGGGAGAACGAUGUGAGAAAUGCUGUACCCUAAAUAUCAUUCUGUUAACUGGGAAAAAGAAUGGUUAAAGGAGAUGCUUAGGUAUCAUGUAUCAAAGCAAAGUUUUAAACGUACUCAUCAAAAUGAGAAUGGAUUAUAUGAGUGGGGAAAAUAAUGCUUUAGACGUUCAAAUAAUUCUUAAAGCAUGGAGUCCCUGUACCAUUCAUAAGCAGGGUUUCAAAUACCGAGGGAUAGACCCCUUGACAAGUAUUAAGAAAUGUGGUUUUAUGUACCAGAUGGGGGUUGGGGGCGUUGGUUCAUAUCGAGCCUUUGCAAAGAUUCUGUGAAGAUUUUCUUUCUAUAGCAGAGAAAACCUCUCGACUGUUUUGCUGAUGUAAGCAUUUGGAAUCACCAUCAUCGAAUUACCACAGCUGGAUGGAGUAGUAUGGGCCAGAGAAAGCUUGGAAGAAACUGACGUGAUGGUUACAAAUGAAUAAAAAUCCAAGGGAAAAAUGCCUUACCAAAUUAGCACGAGAGUGGACGUAAGAUGCCACUGAAUGAGGAUUGUGGUCUCAAAACCCUAAAUUCAGAAGAUGUAAAUUGAAAAUCUGUGAUAGGCUGUUUCUUCUGAAUGCGAUACUGUUAUUUCAUUGGAGGUGCAAGGCGGAACGGAAAAUUAUGCAGAGAGGUGAGAAAAACUAGUGAUCUAAUUUUCAAGCAUUUUUUGUUGAUUGUGUACAUGUGCCAUAAUAAAAUGUGUAUUUGGCUGAUUUUUCCUAAAUGUAAAGCCCUUCACUUGAUGGAAAGGCGGGUGACAGGAACCAGGAGUGAUGGAAUAUCUCAUAGCUGUUUUUUUGCUGUCAGUUUUUAUUCCCCGCGUUCAACUUAAGCUAAAUUGAAGUAUCUGUCUGGGUGAACCGCCCCUUACUCUUAGUUUCUAGCGUGUGGAUGGUAGGGCCCCUUCAUCACACGCAAUACUCUUUUUAACGUCUCAUCUACUUUUAGAUCCGAAAAUGGAGAAACAGUGGGUCGAUUUUUUGCCAGAAAAAGAUGAUCUUUCUUUGUGGAUGCAAUGAAUUUCAAGGACAUUUCGUGAGAAGUCCGUAGAUAGCAAUAAGAAGUAUCAAUAGAGAGGAUGACCUGCCAGCAAAGGAUCAACAACUUUGAAUUCUCUCAUGUUGUGAAGAGGCGAUAAACUCUAUCCUUUCUGAGAAGUGGCUAUGAGGAGACGUUUCACUAGUGAUGGGACUAUGACACCCGACAGGUCUACCAGAAAAUAUGAUUGUGCUUUAACAAAUUUGAUGUCAUUCUUGUUGACUGGAGUUAAUGCAAAAUAUACAAGGAUAAACAGCUGAAAAAAAUCUCUUCUACGACAUAAAUCAUGGAAUCGUUGCUAAUUAUAUGCAGUUUCCCGCCAUAAAAAAAGGAAACUAACUAGGCUAAGGAAAACGACUGACUAGGAAACUGGGCAACAUAAAUUAACUCUUGAUUAUUCUUUUUACCCUGGUCAUUGGUGCAACUUUUGUAAUCGCACUAAAAAAUUGGAUUUGAAUUGAAACAAAUUCAAUCAUGUUCGUAUAAGAAUGAAGUGAUGGAGGGCAUUCUUAAGAUCUUAAAGAAACAUGGUGGCACUCGUCAACUAUUAUGUGUCCCAUCUGGUGGAGGAGAAAUAAGAGAGUUUGACGAGGCAUUCAGAAACAGUUUUCUUAUCAUUACAGAAUAUAUUCAGGAACUAUUUUGGAUGCUGAUGUUGCCCUAGUUAACUGGUGGAAGUCAGUCUGAAUCUAGAAAAAGAAUGUUGGAAGUUGUUACUUCCUGCUAUUUUGUGUACCAUUUAGAGUGAGAAAUGAAAUAUUUGAAGCAUGGGACUUGAGAUCAGAGUUACUCAAGCCGUCUCGAGUUGGUGAGAUUCUAAUACCGAGUUGAAUACUUCAAAAUCAUUUCAAAAUUAGGCUUAAUUGGUUUAUAUAUGGGCUAAAUUUGUCUGAAUCAGUGAUUCAGAGAAAUUGGUUCCUAUAGCAUGCAUGUGUCCAGGACUAGGCAUUUUGGGUGCAAGAUGCCUUUAUAAGUUUCAUGGUUUGUAUAAAUGGCCCCAGUUAGCAUAUAGUUGUGAAGCAUACUCAAUAAAAAAUGUGAUUAAAAUAAAAUCCGAAUUGGGGCUGUUCCCCUGCUUUAGUCAAUCUGGCUGUUCUAAUCACUAUCCCAGGUUCCUACCUUGCUCGUGGGCUUCUGGAAGAUUGCUCCUUGUAAUUUGUUGAAUACAUAUAUCACUUAUGGGAGAUCAAGAAUAGAUAAAGUGAACACAUUUUCAUCCAGAUGAUGAGAGGACAAACUUUACUGUUUGUGUUAGAUUGCCUAGAUCUAAUGAUUUACACAUUAUUCUUCUAUGCAUCAUCUUCGUUGAUCAGAAUAGUAUUCCCUGCUUUUAUUUGGCUUGCAUUUCUCUCUAAUGAGAGCUAUGAGUGGUAAUGCUGUCUCUGUUUGCUGUCUGUCAGGUCCAGGUAAGUAUUCUCUGCAGCUUAGAGAAUAAGCUACUUCCUUAGCUUUGUUUACUAAUAAAUUAUUGAUUUUACCGCUCUCAAGAAAGCAAAAGUUCAUUUAUUGUCGUCAAUAAUCACUUGCCAUGAAACACAAAGCUUAUCGAUCUUGCAGAAAUGCAAUCUCGACACGUUUUCAACUCAUACAUUGAAUAAUGUUAGAUGAUUUUUUCCUUGUGUUUGAUUCACUGUUAAAACUCACCAUAAGAGUCUAGUAUGUCCUUUUGUUAUUCUUCUUGUUUGCAUGUUAUGUUAUCUUUUUUGACCUGUUCCCUGGUUUGAUAGUUUAAAAUCGCUCCUUUCCAUGUUUAAUUUUUCUUUUAUGGUGUUUGUCUUGCUGAUUCCAAUCUUCUUUUCUAAGGUUCAAAAAGUUGAAUACCGGGAGAAUGAAUGGAAAUACUAUGUCCAUUAUCUCGUGAGUUAUUUACCAACUUUCUACUCUGUACAUGCCUUUGAAUUCACCUUCGUUGAACCUUUAUUUGCUUAAAGAAUUAUACUGCCGUUGUUUGGUUCACUUGUACUGUUACAUUUCUGAUCUUUGCUAAUUACUCAGUAUUCUUUUUGCAGGGUUGGAACAAAAGGUAUGUGCUACCUACCUACAAUUCUUCAGAGUUAUCAUUGACACCAUUUUGACUUAUGGGUACUUUGUACUUUCCUUUUAACAUAGCAAGUACCACGAUUAAGUAAUGAUGAAAACUUAGGGAGUACAAGUAUUUUAAUACCAUCUACACAGAACCCUGUACAAAAUCCGUUCCCAGCGGAUGUGUCCCGAUUUGAGCUGACUAACAGAUGACAUCCUUGGGGCCUAUUUAAUCUCUUUGCAGAUGAAAGUUCAGCUUGUUAAAUUACGGUAUUGGCUUCUUUGAGAACCUUUUUCUUUUCGUAGACAGAACGAUGUAACAUCAUUCUUUGAUACACUUAAUGGGCUCCUGACUCUAAUGAUCCAACUUAGGAUCUGUCUUCACAAGUUUUGCAUAAAAUCAUUUCUUCAUCCACACACUGAAAAGGAGAGGAAGGGAAAUAUAAGAACCUUGCCUAGAAAAUUGAGGUUGUCUGGAGCAGGUAAAACGAUCAAUAUUGUGGGCAUCCGAAAUGAACCCAAGGUUAUUUAUGGCUGAGAAUGUCUUACAUUUGAUGACAGCUGUCAUUUUGAUAUCAUUAAUAGGGCAACAUAAGCACACUUCACCAAAGUUGUGCAAUAGCACACUCCACAAUAAUGAAGGUUUCAUACACAUUCUGCAAAAUAUCACUUUUUAAAAAGAUAUUAUUCAUAUGCGUAUUGGUAGUCUCUCUCUGAACUGCUUCAAUUGAAAUGAAUGUUCAGGCUCUGCCCAUCUUCGAAAUCGAGGCGAAAUUUUCAUUUAUCACUGUGAUACCAUUUGGAUUGUGUUUUGCUGGUUGCUAGUACGACAGUCUCAAUAUGGAUUUUGAAGAGUAAAAUCUCAGGGUCAAAUGCUUCUUAGUCAGAUUGAGCUGUAGGUGUAAAUAAUGGAGGUAAGUGUGUAGAAGUGGGAUCUAUCUUCUAUAAUCACUUUGAUAAAUAAAAUAUGCAUUACGCUACAAAAGUUGUAGAUUUACCAAUGAUAGAGGGGAUAAUUCCAUCACUUGCAAGUGAAGGAUGAAUAUAAAAAUUUCAUGAAGGAAAUGUAUACUCUUAGUAGACUAAAAGAGUAUAGAGGAAGGUGCUACUAGAUCACAGCAUUAGCAGCUCUUUGGCCAUCAUAAUUUUGCAGAUAGCAUACCAUUUAUCAGAGCUGUGAGUGUUAAGAAUGGUGCCAUAUUGGCUAUAGUAAAAGAAAAUCUGUGAUCAAAAUGAUUGCUCAUUUUAGGAUAACUAAUUCCGAGUUAGAUGACAUGAGUUUAAUGAGAUAUAGAUCCAAUGGCUGUUAGUUUAAUACAUACUGUCGUUGUGAAUAAGCUCAAAUUUCAGCUUGCAGAGGAGGGGAGAUGUUAUAAUUUGAUACUAGAAAAUAAAUCCGUGAUUGGAAAUUAUAUUUACUCUGCUUAUAGGCAAUUAAUUUUGGGUUUGAUGCCUCAAAAACAUAAAUUGUUCUCAUUGACAACUAUUCAGUUGUCUAACUAAAUAAUUUUGGAGCUGGGUGAUUUCGUCGAAAUUUGAGCUGCUGACCAGAUGCCUCUAACUGUCAAUAAUCACCCUUCAAACAUGAGAAGCCUUACUUCGUUAUAUCCCAUGUAAUGUUCGAGAGCCCCUCAAUGUUUUUCGUUAAAUCUGUCUUGAUAAACAGAUAGAAGAAAAAUAACAAGAGAAUUCCCUGCAAGAAAUAAGGGUUGGCCAGUCCCCUUUUCCUUUGGAAUAAUUUAGUAUUUUAUUUAGAAACUCUGAAUGAAAUCCUAGUGCUAACGCUACACCGAUUAGAUUCAUGGAAGUUUUCUAGGUAGCAUAGUAGAUACGCAGUAUAGUCUUCAAUGUGCAAUGACAGUCUUCAUGCGCAGUUGAUGGGGAACUGCUGUACGGCUGCCUGGCGAUGCAGCAGCCCAUUGUUGAUGGGCAUAACUGAAGAAUUACUAGCUCCUUCUCAAGCUAUUUUCAUCAUAUUUCCCUAGAUUCUUCUUUAUUUAUUCCAACUGUUCCCUCCUUAAGGCAGCACAUCUUUUAACAGCAAUUCUUUCUCUUUCAGGCUAUGGAAUCAUUUGUGGUUAAAACUUGCUUUACUGUUGGUUUAAUGUUACGAAUCCCUGUGACAUUUGUGAAAUAUAUCCUGGAAGAAAUAUUGUUUAUGUAUGGUUAACAGGUUUAACUGAAGACUUUUCCUAAAAUAACCUCUUUUGACGGUUGGGACGAUACUAAAGAUGGCUUAUCUGGUAUAAUGUUACUAUUUAGUGUUCUAAACCUUCAAGUGCUCACUUUUCUUGAAAUGAACUCUUUCACAGUUGGGAUGAGUGGAUUGAAAGCAGCCGCUUGUUGAAAUUCAAUGAGGAAAAUGUUGAGAAGCAGAAAACCCUUAAUAAGAAUGGUAGAGCGAAGAACUUGAAGUCUUGGCGUUCUACUCAAAACAAACCCAAGGGAUCCAAUGGUUUGUCUACUUCACGCAUUUUAGUUUUUGCCCUUUGUUAGCCAUAGUUACGGUUAACAUAAUUGCUUCGUUGCUGACCGGUACCGCCAAAAAAAGGACACAGUAACAUUACUUUAUUAUAUGGAUCCAGGCCAGUGAUCAUAUAUAUAUUUGGUCACUGUUUCAGCUUUUAUUUUUCACAUUACUCUCGGCAGAUUUGGUAUACUGUGGGCUUUCUUACGCUUAGAGCUGAUGUUGAUAAAUCCCCAGUUUUAUCCUGAUUUGGUAUCUGUUACUUAUCUCUGAUUUCUUUUCCCGGUAAUUUUAUUGACGUUGUAGUUUUUGAAGGAAAUAUUUUGAUGCAUCAUCAAUAAUCACUGAGUUUUUCUUGAUUACUUGUUGAUAUUGGUGGAAUCUUCAGAGACAAAGCCAGAGAAGGAAGAUCCAAAAAACAAUUGUAAGCUAUUUCUUUUGCUAGUGUAAAUGCCUGUUUUCCACCGAAUAAUUUUCUCAUUACGGGAGAUUGAUGAAAUGUAUGUAAAACUUCAAACAUCAGAGCUUUGAAAGAAUAUUUGUACCUAUCACAUAACUCAUUAUAGCAUCAUUACUUGUAAGUUGUCUAGUUUUUACGAACAGUAAUUGACAAGAAUUGAGCAGGUGCUGAAAUCUCUCUCAAGUACCUCCAAUCUAUCUCCUGUAACAGCAGCUACCACACAAACACAAGGAAAAACAGAAAAACAGGAAAGAGAGGCAGGAAAAGAGGUUACAAAUUGGUUAGUAUUUGUACUAACCUGAAUCAAUCCUGUUCAAGCUGAACCGGUUUAAGCCAAACCCGUUCAGUAUACAAUAAGAUGAAACUGCAGGAAGGAUAACAAGAAAACACUUAUUUCUGAUACUCCCCCUCAAGCUGGUGAAUGUAUAUUAUCCAUUCCCAGCUUGCACACCAAAUGAUGAAAGAUGUUGCUUGGAAGUCCUUUUGUGAAUAUAUCCGCAACUUAAUUAUUUGAAGUCACAUAUGGAGUACAUAUCAAUCCACUUUCUAGUUUCUCUUUUAUGAAGUGACGAUCAAUCUCUAUAUACUUGGUUUUGUCAUGUUGCACAGGAUUGUGGGCAAUAUUGAUGACUGAUUUUAUAAUUUUAUUGAACCAUCUAUUUUGAUCUUCAAAUCAUUUAAAAUAAUAUUGAUCCACAACCUCACAAAUGCCUUGAGCCAUAGCUCGAAACUCAGCCUUUGCACUUGAUCUAGACACAACGCUUUGUUUUUUACUCUAAGUAAUGAGAUUUCCUCUGAGAAAUGUAUAGUAUCCAGAUUUUGAUUGCCGAUCUACAACAGAUCCUGCAUAAUCUGCGUCUAGGUACACUUCUAAUAUUAAAUGACAAUGCUUUUUAAAUAAAAUUCCUCUCCCUUCUGUUCCUUUGAGAUAAUGAAGAAUAUGAUAUGCUGCCUGCAAAUGCAUAUGCUUUGGUUUGUGCAUAAAUUGGCUUACUACAUUGACUACAUAGGCUGUGUCUGGUCGUGUACGUGAUAGGUAAAUUAAUUUGCCAACUAGCUAUUGAUACAUUUCCUUAUCAAUAGCAAUAUCUUCUUCACAUGCACUUAGUUUGAGAUUGGGAUCAAUCGGAGAAUUUACAGGCUUGCAAUUUGUUUUCUCUAUCUCCUGCAAUAAAUUCAUCACAUAUUUUUGCUGAGACAGAAAAAUAGAAUUCUUUGAAUGAGCAACUUCAAUGCCUAUGAAGUAUUUGAGUCUUCCUACGGAUUUAAUCUCAAAUUCUUGAGAUAAACAUUGACUGAGGAGUUUCUUAUCGAUGUCAUCAUUUCCUGUUACUAUGAUAUUGUCAACAUAUGCAAUUAAAAUCGCAACUCUCCCUAAAGGUGAAUGUUUGAAAAACAAGGUAUGAUCUCCUUGCCUCUGUCUAUAUCCAAUCUUGAGCCUAACCUUCAUAAAUCUUUCAAACCAACCUUGUGGGGAUUGUUUCAGCCCAUCAAUGCUUUCUUCAAUUUACAUACAAUGUCAGGGCCUAAAUUAUUUUUGAAACCUGGAGGUACGUCCAUAUAAAUUUCUUCUUCAACUCUCCACAUAAAAAUGCAUUUUUGACAUCAAACUGUUGAAGAUCCCAAUCAAAUAUAGUGGCCAAUGAUGGUAAUAUGCUGAUUGUAUUCAUUUUCACAACCAGUGCAAAAGUUUCACAACAGUCAACUUCAUAAGUUUAUGUGCACCCUUUGGCAACUAAUCGAGCCUUGUACCUCUUUAUUGAUUCAUCUGCAUGAUACUUAAUAAAAUACAUCCAUCUGCAUCUAAUUAUUUUCUUCCCCAUUGGCAGCUGCACAAAUUCCCAAGUGUUAUUCUUCUCUAAAGUCCUCAUCUCUUCAUUCAUAGCUUGCCUCCACUUCUCAUGAGUUAGAGCUUCAAAAAUAGUUUUUGGAAUUGUAGUGGCAUUCAGGUUGGAUAGAAAGGUUUUAUGUGAGGGUGGUAACGUAUUAUAGGACAAAGAAAGUGCAAUGGGACAUAUUGGUUUUGGGUACAUUUUCUAACCUUCUUUCAAAGGGCUAUAGGCAAGUCUUCGUCAAUAGGUAAAGAGUUGGUAUUCGAUGUUGUAUUUGACUCAUCUUGGGAGGACUCUUGAGCAUGAGUAGAAUUUGAAGUAGUUCUCUUUUUUCUGGAAUAUGCUUGGCCAAAUCUACCUUUUUCGUGUUCCUUAUUAUGACUAUCUUCUAGGGCAGGUGGUUCAAUAGGAACAACAACAUCAUCUGGUAAUAUAACUGAAGAGUGAAGUAAGAAAUUUAAUUGAUGAUGAUUUGAUGAAUUGUAUUAUGCUUCUUUUUCAUUGAAGGUUACAUCCCUUGUCAGAUAAGUCUUCCUUGUUGGAGGAUGAUAACAGCAGUAUCUUUUUUGUGUUUGGGAGUUUCCUACAAAAAUACAUUUCAAGGCUCUAGAAUCUAAUUUAUCUAUAUGUUGUUCAUGUAUAUGAACAAAAGCUAUAGAUCUAAAUAUUUUGGGAAUGAGAUUUGUUUUUAAUGUGAUAUGAGGAUAGAAGAAUGACAACAUGUCAACAGGGCUUUUAAUAUUCAAUGAUUUAGAUGGUAAUCAAUUUAUUAGGUAACCAUAAGAACUCCCUCACCCCAGAAAAAUUUAGGCACAUUAUUUUGUAUAAGGAGUGCUCUAGUAGUUCCUAACAAAUGACCAUUUUUACGCUCGGCCACACCAUUUUGUUGGGGUGAAUAAACACAUGAUGAGUCAUGCACUUUUCCUUCUGGAAAAAAGAAGUCAAGGGUUGAUUAAAAUAGUCUUUGCCAUUAUCAUAUCUAAAUCUCAUAAUAGUAGUAUCAAAUUGAUUUUUUUACAAUGGUCAUGUGCCCUGCUGACAUGAUGAUUUUUUAUUAAUAGAGAGCAGAAUUGAAUGAGUGCCCUGCUAACAUCAGAUUUAUGUUUAAGUAAAUAAAUCCAUGUCAUUCUUAUACAAUCGUCAAUGAAGGUGACAAACCACCUAGCUCCACCAGUGCUAGGUGUAGGUCCAGGCCCCUACAUGUCACUAUGAAUAUGAAAAAGAGUUACUAAACAUUUCAAGGUAUUUUCAAAAAAUAGAGUUCUUCGAUGUUUGGCAAACUCACAUACUUCACACUUGAAUUCAGAUAUAUUCGAGUUGUGAAAGAAGGAAGGAAACAAAGUUUUAAGAAUAAAAAAAGAGGGAUGUCCCAAUCUUCGAUGUUGAGAUUUUGUCCAUGUUUGAUAGGUGGGAAUCCUUAGGAAUGCUACUUUGAUCUACUGCUAUGUUAGAUUGGCUUGGAAGUUCCAAAUAAUAGAGUCCGCUGCAUUCUCUUGCAUGUCCAAUCGUCCUCCCAGAUGUCUUGUCAAAUAAAAGACAAGUAUUAGGAUCAAAGGUAACAUUACCUAGAUCUUGUGUAAGCUUGCUAACAGACAUAAGGCUAGAGGUUAACAUAGGGACAUGAAGUACAUUUUUCAGAAUGAUGUCUGGUAAUAAUUGGAUAUUUUCUACUCAAGCAAUUGUGACUGAAGAUCCAACAGCUGUGGGGAUUUUUCUAUUACUAGGACAAGGGGCAUAGGAGUUAAACGAAUGAGAAGCUUAGGUCAUAUGGUCUGUGGCAUCUGAAUCCACUAUCCAAAGUGAAGAUUUACUAUUUAUAGAAGCACUAAAUCCAGUAAAAGUAGGAGACUUACUUGAACAAGCAAGUGCUGAUGAGGCUUACAUCACUGGGGCAUGGGGAGGUUCUUCCACACUCACUAGUUUUUGAUCUGAGGUAAUAUUUUAUUCUUGUUGUGCCAUAGUGAAAUAGACUUGGUCUCUGGUAAGAACCCCAUUCUCACAUAUAAGAGCAGGAAGUGGGGACUUCUUCCAGAAAGGUCUCAAGAUCUGGUGGCUAAUUGAGGCGGGCCACAUCAGCACAGUAUGACCGAAUAAAGACUAUAAAUAAGAGACACAUGGAGGAGGCUAGGGGCAAGAAAGCAGUUGGGGUAGUUUCUGGGAUAGCAACGAGGAGAAGGCUCUCAAACGGUUUCUCCCAUUGACCAUCAUUUUCUCUCUUCUCUUGUACUCAUCUUGAUAUCUUGAAUAGAAAUCCUGCAUUCCUUUCAUUUGGAGGAAUUGAGAUCGGCAGAUCUCCUUUUGAUCCAUCUAUACCACGGUAAGUCCAAGGGACUUACCAGUCUCCUCUCUUUGUUGUCCUUUACAUGAUGUGAAGGCCUCCCAUAUAGUUUAUAACAUCUAUCAAUUGUGUGCCUCGGUUUUCUACUGUAGGUACACAAUGUGUCUCAAAAGUCGUUAUUCUAAAUCUUCUGAUGCAGCCCAGGAAAUCAUAUCAAAUGAAGACAUCAAGAUUUUUGAUCUAGGUAGAGAAAAUUACGGAAAAAUACAUUUAGGAUCUGAAGAAGCUUUAGUUCAAUGUCUAAGUUUCUUCUAGUUAUAGAUUUUGACAUAUUUAAAAUGUGUCAAAAUCACUUUUAGUAUUGUUUUAUAGAAUAACAGAAUUUCCUGAUUUUAAGGAGGUUCUAAGUUAAUACCUCUUCUUUAGAAUUGUUCUAACAAAAUACCUAUUCUUCUCAAUAGUUCUAACAAAAUAUCUAUUUUAACAGAAUCCUUCUUAACUUUAGGGAUGUUAUAACAGUAUUCCUCUUCUUUAGGUAAGUUGUAACAGAUUUUCUAUAAUUUAGGUUAGUUAGUUAUCCUUUCGGCCUAUAUAAAGGCCUCUCAUAUAGCUUAAGAUGCAUUCCCUUUUUUGAUCAAUAGAAUUCAGAGUUGUUUUCCUCUCAUAAUGUUCUCUUCUCUGCUGGCGGCUUUCAACCACCCGUGUGGAUUCAGGGGAACCCCUAGUAAUAUGGACUCAGGACCAAACCCCUGUGGACUCAAGGGACAAGUUUUCCUAGCCUAUGUAGAUUCACGGUAAGGAAAUCUCUCAGAAUUUACGUUUUCUGUGGACUCAGAAAUGUGGUUCUAGAUUUAUUUUAUUUAGGUGGCACGAACAUCAUCAAAUUGAGAAACUCAUCCAGUUUUCAUUGCGCCAUCUUCUCUAGUUUUCGAGAUUGACCUCUGAGUUUUGUAUUAUUGAUGUCAUAAUUUUUUCCACCUUUAGCCACAAAUGCUGAACUAUCCACAUUUCCAAAACCAAUCAUUAAAUUUCGACAACAUUCUUCUCCCCUAAUUAAGGAGAUCACUUCAUUUAGAGGAGGUAACUUCUCUCUUCCUAGGAUUUGAAUUCUGACUUUAUCAUAUUCAGAAUUCAACCCUACAAGAUAUUCAUAUGUUCGAUCCUUUUAUAUCUUCUCUCUAUAUAAUGUUGUGUCCAUAGGAUCCCUCAUGUCUGCAAUAUUGUAUUGUUUUCUUGCCACAAUGAUACUUCAUGAGUAUACUCAGUCAAUGAUUUCCCACCUUGCUUCAUAGUCAUCAUUUUCAACUUCAAUUCAUAAACUUGUGCAUCUUUCGUCCUUAAGUAAGUUUGGUGUAAAUUCUACCAAAUAUUUUUUGCUUUAUUUAGAUACAAGCAAGUCCAUUAGAUCCCAGGACUCAUCAUGGUCUACAGCCACGUCAUGAUCCUCGAGUCCCUGUACUCCCAUCUUUCAAAACCUGGAUCUCUAGAUUGUGGAUCUGUACUAAUCAAAUGAUCAGUCAUCCCUCGUCCUUUAAGAAUGACUCAGACUUGUUGCGACCACCCAAACUAAUUUCUGCCAUCAAGGUGGUCUGUCUAGGGUAUAAUAGGCAAAUCCCCAUAGCUCACACUAAAUUCUGUCCGCAUAACUCGGGACUAUUCUGUUCCAGAGGUGGCUUCAGACAUUCUUAUCUCUCAAAAAUCAAGAAUCCGAAAAAACAAGGCACAGACCUACAGAUCUUGUUCUGUAGGUUAAGAACGCUAGAUUGUCACAUGGAUAGUGUAGAAUCAGCGAAUAAAUGGUGGCUUAUCUUAUAAGCCAUAAAUUUGUGCCCUCAAGGAAUGAAGAAUAAAAACCACAAACAAAUAAAAUCAAGAGACCAAAAAAUCUGGCUAAACAAGUGCUGGAGAGGUAGAAACUGGCUCUGAUACCAUGACAAGAAUUUAGCUGGUGCUGAAAUGUCUCAUAAGUACCUCCAAUCUGUCUCCUGUAGCAGCGGCUGCCACAUACACAGGGAAAAACGGAAUAAAGGAAAAACGGGAAAGAGAGACUGAGGCCUCAAAUUCUGAUUCAAGAAAAGAGGUUGCAAAUUAGUUAGUAUUUAUACUAACCAAAACCAAUCCGUUUCAAGCUGAACCAGUUUAAACCAAACCAGUUCAGUAUACAGGAAGGUGAAACAGCAAGAAAGAUAACAAGAAAACGCUGUUAUUUUUAAUAGUAAUCAUUUCUGAUUAUGGAAAAAUAAUAAUUUAUCAGUAGCAAAAUAUUUGCCAAAAUACUUAUAUUGACUAUGUGACUUUUCUGUAACUUAGGGAAGAAUUAUGACUUUUAGAUGCCAAAAAAAGGGAUGGAUAUCUCAGGAAAACAUUGAGAUAUGUAUAAAUGACAAGUUGAAGAAAGGAAUGGCAAGAAUUUAUGCACUGUUUAAUGAAUACAGCGUAUGUUGAACUUAUAUUGAUUGGGUAACUUUGUGCAGCAUAGGGGAUAGCUAUGACUUUAGAUAUUGUAAUGCCAAAAAAAGGAAUGGAUAUAUCUCAGGAAAAUAUUGAGAUAUGCAGAAAUGACAAGUUGACGGAAGGAAUGACAAGAUUUUCUGCACUAUUUAAUCAAUAUAGCAUAUGUUGAACUAUUUAAUGAAUACAGCCACCUGGAAAACUCAAAGCAAGGAACGUGUAUGUCUGUCCCAAAAGCAGAGUUCCUGAGACAUAGUUGGACGCUUGAUAAAACUGAGUCCUUGUGAAACAAUAAUGAUGCUAGGUUUGCUGCAUUAAUACACCAGCUACAGUCUGACACCCAAAACAACAUCAUCAACACCAACCUUGUUGGCUCUCAGCAGUUUGCCAACGUUAACCACACAGAGAAUUCUUCCACUUUACAUGCCCCCAUUGAAAAGACCUUCUUGUCUGUUUGUCUCCUGACAGAAUUUUUUGUAUACUCUUCAAAUUUGUCUCAUCGGUCUCAAAAUUAAUCAUAACUUCAGUUAUAAUUGUAUAAAACACACUUCCAGAAGUAUCUUUCUUGAAUCAUCUUUUGAUACAAAAUAUUGAAGAAUGAAUGAUAAGCUUAUGUUUAUAACCGUCCCUCUUUCCCCAAUGAAAGAAAAAAGGCACACAAGAGAAAUCAUUCUCUUCUCUCAGAGGCUUCUGCUGGUGGUUGCUGUGGCUGGCCACUGGUUGAACGUCAAGCCCCCAACCCAGGCCUUCCACACCCCACACCGUCCCCCCCCCCACCCACCCCCCACCCCCUUCCCUCCCACAGUCAGAGAAGUUCAAAGUAAAUGUUCAUAGGAAAUCUUGUUUUGUUUUGCGAAUUGUUUGUUUUCCUAUGAUGGUGGAAGGAGGUAGCUUGGCUGUAGAAAUUUUGGCUCUGAAAAUAUUCCUUCAUACACUCUGCUCGUAGUUAGGAGGGCUGGAUUCAGUGGGUCAAGUGGAGGAAGAAACUGCAAGUAGUGUAGUGAGAAUCAUCCGAGACAGUGCAUAUAGUCUCUGUAGGGUUGGAAGAUCAUGAUCCUGUGCAGAAAGGGAAGAUCAUGGGAAAAUUGUAGAAUGGAUAUUUUUUAUAGAUGGUGACAGGUGAAAAAAAGGUCAGUAUUAAAAUGAUGGGAUCUAGGAACAUUAAGGCAGUCGCCCUUUAGCUCAAGGUUAUACCCAUGAAGAGUAUACCUGGUGGUCAGGGGCGGAACUAUAGCGUCUUCUUAGGAAGAAAUGAGCGAAAAGGAUAUUAAAUCGGUGUCUAGGUGGCUUUAAUGUGGUGUAUAGUGAUACCUGAAAGACAAAUUGGUGUUGCUGGUAUCCUCUAAACCAAGGGCAAGUGCAGCUUCAAGCAUAAAGGGUGUGUUGAACAGAGACAGAAACCACAGGAGCAAAUGUGGUCUAAAAAAGAGGGCUGCACCUCUUUUCAAAAAAGGUGUAACUGAAGAAAUUAAUCGGAUGGAAGACAUCACCUAUCUCAAAAUGAAAGUAUUCCUUCGCACAAUCAGUGCAAUGAACUUUGAUGUAACAAUGAGAGUGGCUUCCUAGCAGUAAAAUUGCCAUGAGCAAGAAGAACCUCAGGUUUGUUUUCAAUGAGAUUCACCAAAGCGGACAGAAAAAGUCAUCAAUGAACCAGGCAAUAAUGAAAUCCUGUCACAGAAGGCCCCAGUAUCAUAUUGCACUUAUCUAAAAACUUCUGUGGAUUUGAAUUCGUGAAAAUAAAGGGCCAAGAGUUUUGUGAACUUGCCAUUUAUAGACGGUGUUAAGGAACUGGAAACUAGGAGUUCAGACCAAAGCAGAAAACUACAUGACAACCCAGAAAUGUGACCUCAUAUUACGUAUUGGCAACAGAUAAGGCAAAAGUAUCUUAUGAGAAUGAAGCCUUGAUUGGUGGAGUGUCAUGAUGUUCAAUAUGCUUCAAUUUCCAUUCCAUGACCAGUUCUGAGCCUCCAACCAGUAUGCUGAUCUUUCAUAGAAAGGGAUGAAACAGUGAACGAGUUUGUGCAUUCAAAUUUUCUUGAUUGAUAGUGCAGUUUUUUAGAAAUUGAGAUCAAUGGAGGACAUGAUGGAGUGAGACAGCCUGAUGACUUACUAGGGAGUGAUGGAGUAACAGUAGAUUUGAAUUCAAAGGUUAGAGGGAAAUGAAGGUAACAUCUGACAGGAGGCCAGCAGCUGAUAUGCAUUGAAGAGGCCAUUUGCCUGGAAUCCGGGUUUGGCAUUAUUAGCAGGAUGAGCAAAAGUAGUUGUCUAACCUGCCUAGAUUUACAUCUGCUGAAGUUUGGUUGCAAGCAGACCCUGAAGAGUAACGAUAUAGUGUACGUUGAGUUUUGAGUGGAGGAAAAGCAAUGAUAUUGAAAUUCUCAUUCGUGAUGACUCAUAUUAGCAACGACAGUAAGGAUGUAGGAUUACUCAUGAAAUGGCAAGAGGAUGAACCGCAACUGAUGAGGGAUUCAACAAGUCAACUAGAUGGGGUUAACAGCAAAGCUGUUGUUGGAAAUAAAUUCCAGUGCAAGAGGAACGAUCAAAAGUGUGGUUGGCAGGAGACCUCCAAUACGCUAAGUUUCUAAUGGUCGUUGCUGUGGAGAAGUAACAGGAUCUAAUAACAGUUAACGAUGCGAGAAUGAGGGAGGGAAAGGGAGCAAUUUUCCCUUCAUUAAGGAAAUAGCUCAGUAUAUGAGAUAUCACCAACAAGUUUUCGU
Molecule: long non-coding RNA, 29267 nt
Filed under: Spirodela polyrhiza (greater duckweed)
Lineage: Eukaryota; Viridiplantae; Streptophyta; Magnoliopsida; Alismatales; Araceae
Description: long non-coding RNA (SPOL_LNC000604)
Source: RNAcentral